RNAcentral lists this ribosomal RNA (253 nucleotides) under uncultured bacterium. Its description in RNAcentral is "partial 16S ribosomal RNA". It matches the Rfam family "Bacterial small subunit ribosomal RNA", at positions 524 to 776 of the family's 1533-position model. The record is from RNAcentral.
UACGUAGGGGGCAAGCGUUGUCCGGAAUUAUUGGGCGUAAAGCGCGUGUAGGCGGCUUUGCAAGUCGGGUGUGAAAGCCCUCAGCUCAACUGAGGAAGUGCGCCCGAAACUGCAGAGCUUGAGUACCGGAGAGGAUGGCGGAAUUCCCCAAGUAGAGGUGAAAUUCGUAGAUAUGGGGAGGAACACCGGUGGCGAAGGCGGCCAUCUGGACGGUCACUGACGCUGAGACGCGAAAGCGUGGGUAGCAAACAGG